AACGCACGAGACCUGCGGACCUGCGGAAGGAUCAUUACCGAGUUUACAACUCCCAAACCCAAUGUGAACGUUACCAAACUGUUGCCUCGGCGGGAUCUCUGCCCCGGGUGCGUCGCAGCCCCGGACCAAGGCGCCCGCCGGAGGACCAACCAAAAACUCUUUUGUAUACCCCCUCGCGGGUUUUUUAUAUCCGAGCCAUCUCGGCGCCUCUCGUAGGCGUUUCGAAAAUGAAUCAAAACU
This 240-nucleotide unclassified non-coding RNA is filed under the name soil metagenome. RNAcentral describes it as "partial contains 5.8S ribosomal RNA, internal transcribed spacer 2, and large subunit ribosomal RNA". The record is from RNAcentral.